UCAAAUAGCAGUCUGAGACAGCUCAAAAGAAAAGCAAGGAAGCAGGGACAUUAGAAAUGUUCAGCAGUUGGUGAAAAUGACAUUCUAUUUGGCAGAGAUUCUCCAACAGAUCCAGUGACCUACUAGAGUUUCAGGUAGUCUGAUGCAUGGAGAGAAGAGACAGACAGCUUCCUCGAUAGCCUUGGUGAAAGGAAAGAAAGAUAGAAGAGGCAUCAUUCCUUCCCAGGCAAGUGGAUCCUUUGGCUGUGAAUUUUCCAGUACUUUGCCCUUCAAGAUAACAUUGAAUUAAGUGUCUCCAGCAAUAAUGCUUUUCUCACACCCCCUUUUUGUUAAUAAAUAAAUAAAUCCCACCAAACGGUGCAGUCCUGCAAAGUGA
Long non-coding RNA from Rhineura floridana, 376 nucleotides. RefSeq lists it as uncharacterized. The record is from RefSeq and is a predicted model, not a curated record. The transcript is spliced from 2 exons. Lineage: Eukaryota; Metazoa; Chordata; Lepidosauria; Squamata; Rhineuridae.